UUGAGUUUGUGCGCUUUAAGGGGAUUUUGAGUGAUUUCUACUUAUGUAUAGGUUUUUCCCGGUAAGCGUGUAUGGCAUCACCUGACAUCUGAACUUGGAUUACAACUUUACAAUUAAACUUGAUAUUUUGAACGAUUAAACUAUUAAAUGCGGUUUGAGAACAGAUCAUUCUAAAAUACGCAACCUAGUUUGUAUUAAUUGAACGCGUAGUUGCUGAAUAACAAGAGUUCGAAGGUCAUUUUUCGAGGUAAAAUCUGAUUACUCUCCGCCGGGAAUGGGUUAGUGAAAUCAUACACAAACAUGAACUGUUUUACGAUUCAGUUUCACACCGUUUCACUUUCGAUGUGCUCGUCCAUAAUUUUUCCCAUAGUUAAUAACAAUCAUUUUAACUGUUCAGUGUUACCCUUAUUUAUUUGAACUGCGCAAGCAAAGGGUGAUAAUCAGUUCUAAAGCCUGUAUUACACUCUUUGACCGAGCGUCAAAUAUUUGUCACUUUUUGACAGAUAAAAAUUUGGUAAAAUAUAAUUGUUUGUCACUCUCCAAUUUUAACAUGGGGCAAACACGGAAAAACAACAACCAUGAUGUCAAAUAAAUUUGACCAUUAUGUCAGAUGGUCAAAUAUUUGACCAUUAGACAAAGAGUGUACUACAGACUUAAAAUGAUAUACAAUCGUUAAAAGCUAAAGUCAAGCAAUGAUAACACAUUCAUGUGCGAGCAAUUUGGUUCAGUGUAGUCUGCUUUUUCUUUUGGCAGUUUUUGCCCAUAACAAGGUUAAAAAUAGAGGUAGGUCUACUAGAUCAUGAUUCUCAAAGCAGUUUUCAAGUCGAAUCUCGACAAAUCGACUCUAGUGCUUGGGAUCUUUUGUGCAACAUGAUUUGCCUCGAAUACAAUGGGCACACUAGCGACAUUACUUAUCUAGGGACUAAAUAAUCUUAUAUUUGCAUGUUAUCUGUUUUGAGUGUAGUAUUCGUUUCUCCCUCUCCACGGUUAAAUGAAGCUACCUAAUUAUGAGUACGAAAACUACCAAUUUUUGAGUUCGCCUAAGCGAACUGCGAUUUUGAGUAACUUUGAUUAAGUGAAAUUUGUAGAAAAAACUCAUAUGAUGGAUCAAUGCACCAUAUCUAUGUUUGAAUGAAAUGUUUCGAAUUUUCGCUGCUCGAGAGGUUAUUGUUUACCUAAUUUUGGAUGAAAAUUUUUAACCUGCCAGUGCUGUCAAGAAAGAAACAGUUGUGAAAUCAACAGUGUUUUUUUUCUACGAGUGCUUAAAAUUCGGGUUUCUAGUGAAAGAAGGUUUGGAGUUGUAUUUUGUUUGCUUUGAAAUAUUCAAAAUGAAUAAAAUAUCCUCAUCGAUUAGCGAAAGACUUCCUUCCGAAAGCAAAACCACCCGCACAGAAAGUGGUAUCGCCUGCGGGGCCACUGAACCAGAGAAUGAACUACUGGUGUGCGCCAGAGUGGCACGGGCCAGAUUUUGGUUUUCCGGAAAUUUACAGCGUUGAAGGUCCCACCAAGAAAACGAACGGACACACCUCAAGAUCGAUUGUGUGAUAAGCAACUUUCGGUUGUUGGAGGGAAUAUAAACAAUGUUAUAAACAUUA
This is a long non-coding RNA of Wyeomyia smithii (pitcher-plant mosquito), 1595 nucleotides long. RefSeq lists it as uncharacterized. The record is from RefSeq and is a predicted model, not a curated record. The transcript is spliced from 2 exons. Lineage: Eukaryota; Metazoa; Arthropoda; Insecta; Diptera; Culicidae.